Non-coding RNA from Trichonephila inaurata madagascariensis, 73 nucleotides. The record is from the annotation of a GenBank genome assembly. NCBI's taxonomy places the organism in Eukaryota, Metazoa, Arthropoda, Arachnida, Araneae, Nephilidae.
GGGGGCGUAGCUCAGAUGGUAGAGCACUCGUUUAAUACGAGAGAGGUACAGGGAUCGAUACCCCGCGCCUACA